ACGCUCGACACCUACGGGAGGCAGCAGGUAGGGAAUCUUCCACAAUGGGCGCAAGCCUGAUGGAGCAACACCGCGUGAGUGAAGAAGGGUUUCGGCUCGUAAAGCUCUGUUGUUGGAGAAGAACGUGCGUGAGAGUAACUGUUCACGCAGUGACGGUAUCCAACCAGAAAGUCACGGCUAACUACGUACCAGCAGCCGCGGUAAUCUGAGCGGGCUGGCAAGGC
RNAcentral lists this ribosomal RNA (224 nucleotides) under uncultured bacterium. RNAcentral's name for it is "partial 16S ribosomal RNA". It matches the Rfam family "Bacterial small subunit ribosomal RNA", at positions 328 to 539 of the family's 1533-position model. The record is from RNAcentral.